Long non-coding RNA from Chinchilla lanigera (long-tailed chinchilla), 629 nucleotides. RefSeq lists it as uncharacterized. Lineage: Eukaryota; Metazoa; Chordata; Mammalia; Rodentia; Chinchillidae. The record is from RefSeq and is a predicted model, not a curated record. The transcript is spliced from 4 exons.
AGACACUGCGGUACAGACGGGGGCAGCGGCGGCGGCGGCGGCUGCACCGGCGGCGGCGGCACCACACAAACAAGGACGCUGAUUGGGCAGCUGCCAAGCGCCUCGGCUCCGCCUUACUCACACGCCACGACGCCCAUUGGACAACCUGAGCCGGCCACCCCGCCCUCCUCUUCGUAGAUCUACCAAUAAAAGCCAGGAUGCUGAGGCUUCGCCCCACCCUUGAACAAUUCAAACUCCAGCCUUGAAGAGGAACUUUCAGUCAGGAAUGAUCAAGCUCUCGGGAGGACAGGUGAGAGACUUCGAAGGCCAUGUAGAGGAACCGGAGCCUUCAAUCCACAACUUCAGUUACAGCCAACCCUCGGGAACAAACACCUUCAGGGCUCUGGGAGAGCAUUCUACCAUGCUCAAGUGCCGGUGGGGAAGGGUCUUUCGCUUGAAGACCUCAGCAAUCAGUAGGACCUCUCUCUUCAUCCGGGAACCACCCUACCCCCGGGAUUGGCACUAAAAGUUCCUGUGCGCCAUCUGCUUCAUCGAUACUUCCACCCUCCUUCCCCAAGGCGUUUCUGUUGUUAGCUAAUUCCCUUCAGUAAUUGGUUUUGCAGCUCUGUUAGGAGUUGUUUCCUGUGUUG